AGGUCCCAAGGGUAUGGCUGUUCGCCAUUUAAAGUGGUACGCGAGCUGGGUUUAGAACGUCGUGAGACAGUUCGGUCCCUAUCUGCCGUGGGCGCUGGAGAAUUGAGGGGGGCUGCUCCUAGUACGAGAGGACCGGAGUGGACGCAUCACUGGUGUUCGGGUUGUCAUGCCAAUGGCACUGCCCGGUAGCUAAAUGCGGAAGAGAUAAGUGCUGAAAGCAUCUAAGCACGAAACUUGCCCCGAGAUGAGUUCUCCCUGAGACUUUAAGUCUCCUGAAGGAACGUUGAAGACGACGACGUUGAUAGGCCGGGUGUGUAAGCGCAGCGAUGCGUUGAGCUAACCGGUACUAAUGAACCGUGAGGCUUAACCUUACAACGCCGAAGCUGUU
RNAcentral lists this ribosomal RNA (388 nucleotides) under Klebsiella variicola. RNAcentral's name for it is "partial 23S ribosomal RNA". It matches the Rfam family "Bacterial large subunit ribosomal RNA", at positions 2560 to 2925 of the family's 2925-position model. The record is from RNAcentral. Lineage: Bacteria; Pseudomonadati; Pseudomonadota; Gammaproteobacteria; Enterobacterales; Enterobacteriaceae.